ACGGGAGGCAGCAGUGGGGGAUAUUGCACAAUGGGGGAAACCCUGAUGCAGCGACGCCGCGUGAGGGAAGAAGGUUUUCGGAUUGUAAACCUCUGUCUUCAGGGACGAUAAUGACGGUACCUGAGGAGGAAGCCACGGCUAACUACGUGCCAGCAGCCGCGGUAAUACGUAGGUGGCGAGCGUUGUCCGGAAUUACUGGGUGUAAAGGGAGCGUAGGCGGGUAUGCAAGUUGAAUGUGAAAUCUAUCGGCUCAACUGAUAGGCUGCGUUCAAAACUGUAUAUCUUGAGUGAAGUAGAGGCAAGCGGAAUUCCUGGUGUAGCGGUGAAAUGCGUAGAUAUCAGGAGGAACACCGGUGGCGAAGGCGGCUUGCUGGGCUUUUACUGACGCUGAGGCUCGAAAGCAUGGGUAGCAAACAGGAUUAGAUACCCUGGUA
Molecule: ribosomal RNA, 434 nt
Filed under: uncultured Oscillospiraceae bacterium
Lineage: Bacteria; Bacillati; Bacillota; Clostridia; Eubacteriales; Oscillospiraceae
Also listed under: 1 other name
Description: bacterial SSU rRNA
Rfam family: Bacterial small subunit ribosomal RNA
Source: RNAcentral